Molecule: ribosomal RNA, 274 nt
Filed under: uncultured bacterium
Lineage: Bacteria
Description: partial 16S ribosomal RNA
Rfam family: Bacterial small subunit ribosomal RNA
Source: RNAcentral
AUACGGAGGGUGCAAGCGUUAUUCGGAAUCACUGGGCGUAAAGGGUGCGUAGGCGGUUUGGUAAGUCUGACGUGAAAUCCUAUGGCUCAACCAUAGAACUGCAUUGGAAACUGCUAAACUAGAAUACUGAAGGGGCAGAUGGAAUUAGUGGUGUAGGGGUAAAAUCCGUAGAUAUCACUAGGAAUACCGAAAGCGAAAGCGAUCUGCUGGGAAGUUAUUGACGCUGAGGCACGAAAGCGUGGGGAGCAAACGGGAUUAGAUACCCUAGUAGUCC